UCUAGAAGCUCAUGUCUUAGUUUCGAUAAUUCAUUUAAAUGUGAAGAUGCUGACCAAUAUAGUUACAUUAUCUUUGUUCACAUGUUUUCUUCCAUGAUAAAUGGCUUGAUGGUUUUGUUCUUUGUAGGUUAUCUUUUACAUCUUCCUCACCAUACAUCUUCUAGAAUUUGCAACCUGCUUAUCCAGUUUUACAUGUCACUUAUAUGUUUUUGGUGGUUUUUGGAAAUAUAUUUCUAUAAUAACUGUAUUGUGUCCACAACCACCUUGGUGACCAUGAAAAUGUAGUCAAGUUAUUCGUAAUCAAUUCUGCUUCCUAGUAGGCUACUGAUUUUUUUAUAUGCUAUAUUGUAUUAAGAGGUAAAGUUCAUUUAUUUGUAAGCAAGGAGUACAUUACCUCUAUUCAUUCAGAAGCUCCCCUAUCUAAAAUGAGAUAAUUGCAUCACAAAGUUCUUUCCAUUCUUUUGAAUCUCAAUGCCUUGUGGCUUUUGAUGUUUUCUUUUGAUAAAAAUAAAAAAGAUACCUAAGACUAUAUAUUUUCUUUUUAAAUUGCAGAGUUGGUGAUUUAGCUAACUGAUCAUGGUUUCACAGAAACUUAUAUCUUAUACUUUUCUAUUUGGAUGGCUUACCACACCUCGCUUUAAACAGGUCAGGUGGACUAUCGUUUAUGUACUGUUUUAUAGAAUUUGUAUGGUUUCUGAGUUUUACUUUUAGACUAUAGUAAUGCAUGCCAAUAUAUCAUGCCAAUAUACUGUAUGGUUUCUGAGUUUUAAUUUGUAUGGUAAAAUUUUUAAUGCAUGCCAAUAUAUCAAAUGUUGAGGUUGUUAACUCUGUGAAAUAUAUUAAGUAAAUCAUUGAGCUUGAAUUAUGUAUCAUGUGUUUGAUCAUGAUAGUAGUUUUUUAGAGUGUUUGAUCUUUCCAGUGCUCUUGGUCACCAAUUUACUUAUGUUUUGUUUGUAUGAUAACUACAUAGGUUUGUUAGUGAUGCUCACUCAAAAGGUGCAAAUAUCAUUCUCAUUCAGGUACACGUUUAGAAAGCUUGCUCUCUAUUCUUUACUGUUAUACUUGAAUUGCAUUGAGCUUCUUUAAUGGUUCUUUGUGUAGGAACUGUUUUUUCAUAUGUCAGACGUUGGUAUAUAUCUGUUUUUGUAAUAUAGUAACUCCUGGGGUGCUUGCAGUUUUGCGUGCUGUCCAUUUUUUAUUGUCAAUAGUUAAGUCGAUGACUAGAGACUGCAUCUUAUAUAUUGAUUUUUACUUUUAAACGUGUUGCAACUAAUUAUUGUAGGCGUCAGGACAUGCUCAUGGGGCUGAAGGCUCUGAAAUAUGUAGUUUUGAGGCUGCAGAGUUGAGUUUACUCUUACAAGGAACCUUAGGUAUUAAUGUGUCAUGCUUAGAUGUGAAGUAAUGAGAAUUUGAGAUGCAAGGAACAUACUUUACAAGGAAAACCUACAACAUCCAUAUGGGUAAUUAAGGUAAAUGGCACCUGUACUUUUAGUUAAUCUUUCUAACUCCUAUAAAAGUGGUUACUGUAAAACUUUAUACAGGAACUUCAAAGGGGUUGCUGCAAAUAUUUGGCGUGAUUUGUUUGCUUUUGAAGCUGAAGGGUUUUUAUGUUAAGUUCUUGAUCUCAAUCUUUAGUUCUUCAGUAGACGUGGAGUUUUGGUUGUUGUAGAUGAUUUAAAUGUAAUUUGCUUUAUAUAAUUGACAUUCAUAUUAAUUACUGACUAAAUUGUAAUUUUAUUAUUUUUGGGUAAUAAAUGUAAUUUUACUUAUAUAGUUGACAUUUAUGUUGAUGGUCAUUAUCAUUUCGAAAAUAGUACAAUCUACAGGUUUGUAUACA
This 1837-nucleotide long non-coding RNA is filed under the name Aquilegia coerulea. RNAcentral's name for it is "long non-coding RNA (ACOE_LNC000637)". Lineage: Eukaryota; Viridiplantae; Streptophyta; Magnoliopsida; Ranunculales; Ranunculaceae. The record is from RNAcentral.